GGAGGAAAACGGAGAAAGGGUUUGGACUUUGGAGGCUCUUGAUUUGUGAAGUUUUUGUUUGAUUCGGGUACUGUGGAGCAACAAAUCUCUCUUUUUUCUGCUACUCCAUUUUGUUCUAGGAAAAGUUUGGUUUUUCUUUUGACAUGGGUUUUGUUUAGGAUAUCUUGUUGUAUUAGUUCUUGCUUCAUUGGUAUCCAAUUCCAAGUUUCAGUUCUUUAGUUUUUACGUUUUAUGGUUUCAAUCCAUUUUUCAUAUCAUCUGGGAAGGGAAGGAAACUAACGAAUUGAAAUUUUUUGCUUUUUGCGGCCUCUACAAGUAUAUGUUAUUUCUGUAAUCUGAACCAAGCAUGUCUGGUGAAGAGGAAGAAAAUGCUGCUGAGCUCAAAAUUGGAGAUGAGUUUUUGAAGGCCAAGUGCUUGAUGAAUUGUGAAGUAGCAUUAAUUCUUGAACAUAAAUAUGAGCAGCUUCAGCAGAUGUCUGAUGAUCCGAUGAACCAAGUCUCUCAGUAAGUAAUAGACCAGUAAUUGCUUGUUUGCUGGUAUAAACUUUCACUGUUUAUAUAUUACAUACAGUACAUCAAGAACAUUGUCUGAAGUUUAGCUUUUUGGAUUUGGUUUUCUAGUAUCCAGUUGCAAGGUUGCAUUUUCAAGUUUAUGAUGCCAAUUUUUUGUAGCAUAUAUAAUCAUACUGCUUGGAUGGAAACUUAACUCAAGUAGCUGAAACAUUUCGGGGUAACCUGUAUUCGCAGGCUGACAAAAAUUUGAAUGGCUUAAAUUCAGAGACCUAUAAGAUUUAAAAGAGGAAGUAAUCAGUUAUCCUGCAAUAUGUUAUUUCCUUCGCCUAAUAGGAAAAGACCAACAUAAUGAUUUCUUUAACCACUAAAUUCCCAUUGUUGCAAUUAUGAAAAUCUGUGAUAAACUUUGUGAUAUUAAAAGUUUAUAUUCUUUUUUCCCUGCCUAUUCCUAAUUCCAGUUUGUGCACAACCAUGAUGAGUCCAAUGGGAGGACUUUAUGGAAUGUUUUCUUUCAGGUUUUAUAACAUGUCCUUCCGGAAUGUUCAGAAUAUGGAAAUAAGCAAGUUAGAGAAGUUGGAUGGUGCAAAAGGACUUGGGAUUUACAAAUUUCGCAUGCCUCAAAUAUAUCCCUUGCUAAAUUUGGUGAAAUUUUGGUUAUUUUUGUUUUGCAGGGUAUUUGAGAAGUCACUACAGUAUGUCAAGCGG
This 1218-nucleotide unclassified non-coding RNA is filed under the name Hevea brasiliensis (rubber tree). The record is from RNAcentral. Lineage: Eukaryota; Viridiplantae; Streptophyta; Magnoliopsida; Malpighiales; Euphorbiaceae.